RNAcentral lists this transfer RNA (72 nucleotides) under Ictidomys tridecemlineatus (thirteen-lined ground squirrel). RNAcentral's name for it is "Spermophilus tridecemlineatus (thirteen-lined ground squirrel) tRNA". It matches the Rfam family "tRNA". Rfam says of the family: Transfer RNA (tRNA) molecules are approximately 80 nucleotides in length. The record is from Rfam by way of RNAcentral. Lineage: Eukaryota; Metazoa; Chordata; Mammalia; Rodentia; Sciuridae.
GGGGUUGUGGCUCAGUGGUAGAGCACUUGCCUGGCAUAUGAGAGACACUAGAUUCAAUCCUUAGCACCACCA